This 555-nucleotide long non-coding RNA is filed under the name Olea europaea subsp. europaea. The record is from RNAcentral. Lineage: Eukaryota; Viridiplantae; Streptophyta; Magnoliopsida; Lamiales; Oleaceae.
CUGACGGGCGGCGAGAGGUGUUGGGCGACGAGACGACUCGCCGUCGACCUUCCAAUCUCCGGUCUUAGAGUCUCAGAGUGUGAAUCUGUGAUCCCCUUUUCUUUCUCUCUCUCCCUCUCUGUUUUUUUUUUUUCAUUAAAUUUUUGUUUUUGGUUUUUGUCCUAUGUUUUGUCAAUGAUAUAGCAGAGUAAAUUUCGUUUCAGGGGUUUGAAGAUGACUGUCGAGUGUUGAUUACUGGGGAGCCUUCUUAAUGAUGCAUUUCAAAGAGAAGUUGGGAACCAAUUCAUGGAGAAAGUUUAAAGGACUCUGGACUAGAGUCCUCACUCCUCGCUCAGGUUCCUUCAGAUUUUUUUUUUCAACGCUGACUCUUAAAGAUUUUUCUGUUUUUCAUUUGUUCUUCCUGCUUUCCUAAAUUAUGGGCUCUACUAGGUUGUUGUUGUUGUUGUUGUUAUUAUUUAUUUAUUUAUUUAUUUAUUUUGCAGAAUUUUCGCAUAUCUGUUUUAAUAUGCAUUUGGUCUAUUAAAUUUCAGAGUGCGUUUUGUUGCAUCAUUGUUC